This 523-nucleotide unclassified non-coding RNA is filed under the name Hevea brasiliensis (rubber tree). The record is from RNAcentral. Lineage: Eukaryota; Viridiplantae; Streptophyta; Magnoliopsida; Malpighiales; Euphorbiaceae.
GCCGUACCAGAGAAGGAGGGCGUACGAGCAAAAGACGGUGAAGUAGGUGGCACCGAGCCCCAUCCCCUUGGCAAAGCCACUGCGGUAGCCGAGCCUCUGUGCCACCUGGAGCGCCGCCGAGUAGGCGGCCAGUGCUUUCGAUUCUCCUACAAACGACUGCACCGUCCUGAUCUGCGCCAAUGCCUGCUCGGCAAUGUUGCCGGCCAGUGAGAGAGAGUCCUGGCUCUUAGACGACAGCUUUGCCAGCGUCGUAGCAUGGAUGCCGCCGAUGAGCGCGAUGAGGGGGACAACCGCGAGUGUAACAAGAGCAAGUUGCCAUGCGGCGGUGAACCCGACGACAAAGCCAGAGACGAAGGUGGCCAUGUAAUGGAUGAGGUUCCCAAGCUUCUCGCUAAUGGCAUCCUGGAUGAGCACCGCAUCUGCAUUGAUGGCAUAGACGACGUCGGAGGUGCGGACAUCGGUGUCGAAGUAGCGGACGUCCUGGUUGAGCGCCGACUGCAGAUAUGUUAUCCUCAUUUUCGUC